GCUGAACAAGGGAUAGCUCAGCUAGCAGAGCAUGAGACCCUUAAUCUUAGGGUCGUGGGUUCGAGCCCCAAGUUUGGCG
Molecule: non-coding RNA, 79 nt
Organism: Podarcis lilfordi (Lilford's wall lizard)
Lineage: Eukaryota; Metazoa; Chordata; Lepidosauria; Squamata; Lacertidae
Source: the annotation of a GenBank genome assembly